This 150-nucleotide microRNA precursor is filed under the name Corchorus olitorius. Its description in RNAcentral is "mir-399 microRNA precursor family". It matches the Rfam family "mir-399 microRNA precursor family". Rfam says of the family: mir-399 was identified in both Arabidopsis thaliana and Oryza sativa computationally and was later experimentally verified. mir-399 is thought to target mRNAs coding for a phosphatase transporter. The mature sequence is excised from the 3' arm of the hairpin. The record is from Rfam by way of RNAcentral. Lineage: Eukaryota; Viridiplantae; Streptophyta; Magnoliopsida; Malvales; Malvaceae.
GCAACAAUUACAGGGCAACAUCUCCAUUGGCAGGCAGCCACUAAUUAGCACAUAUAUAUGCAUGGAUCGAUAUUCAAAAAAUUCAUGCAUUAUAUAUUAUAUUAACAUAGUGUGCCCUCUGCCAAAGGAGAUUUGCCCGGCAAUUCUUUU